ACCAUUCUAGCUGUUUCUAUACCUCACUUCUCAUUCCUGUCCUUUUUUGUCUAUAAAUUUGUUCUGACCACGAGGCAUCCCUGGAGUCUCUCUGAAUCUGCUGUGAUUCUGGGGGCUGCCCGAUUCAUGAACUGUUCAUUGCUCAACUAAACUCCUUUAAAUUUAAUUUGGCUGAAGAUUUUAUCAGGUGGUGUCAGAAGUGGUAUCUGAAGCGGAGGUUCCAGCAACUCCCAGGAGCACUGAAUGAACACACAAGGUAGCUGCAGGACCACUGUGUCCAUUGAUCUCUCAGAGCAGCUGGGGAUCGUGGCCAGACGAAAAAAGGUAAAUUUCCUUUAUGAUGCUGCUUGGCCCUCAGCACGAUGGUGCAAGCUGGAUCACUGGGGCUGCUCAGGGAAAAGGAACCCAGAAGCCUGGAAUGCUGGCAAAAGGGUUGUAAAUGCUUGCCAGACAUCUCUGGGACAUCAAAUGGUCUCUCUUCAACUGGAAUGACAAAAGCUGAAAGAAAUGGGUGACCAUGAGGACGCUGCAACUUAUGAAUGACGUGCUGAGACUGGAAACCCAAGAUAAUGGUAACUGAGGGACCCUAAGUUUUGUUCACACUCUCGCCUAAGUGAGAACCUGGCCAAAAAGGGGGAAUUUUUUAAAACGAAAUUAUGGGAAACCAUUAUUUUCGACUGAGUUCAUGUGCUAGGCCCCAACAAACCAAACCAAACUAAUAUGGAGUGACUCAUGCUAAAUAUGACAUAAUCAAGCUAAGGCUUUAAGAAAACACAUAGAUCCUAGAACAGACCAGGUUUUGUUUUUCCCCUGUAAACAGGAUGGUCCAGCAUAAGGUACUCUCUACUCAGUCCUUAUUCUCUCCUUGCAAAACACACUAUUCUGUUCCCCAGUAGGUUUCAAAAUCAUAUAAGUACAUUCACAACAGUAACAGUAACAUCAAUAACUAAGGUUUUGGUCAACCUCUCAAAAUUGAGAAAAUGACCAAAAGGGGGGAAUUGUUAAAGCAAAUUAAAUACAGCCCCAGAAGGACUCUGUACUUCUAUAUUUGAGUCCUUGUGGAUGAACUGUAACCUAGCUUAAUAGUCAGACAAAAUUGAAAACCUAAUAGUAUGCACCUGUAACAAUAGCAGAGUGUUGGCCAAUCCCAGGGGCCAUACUUCAACCACUCAUAGACUACUGAAUGUUCAAACUGUGUUCAAAUAAGGUAAAUGCUGAGCUGUAUGUAACCAAUCCCACUGUGUCUGUAUCUCACUUCCAAUUCCUGUCCUUUUUUGUCUAUAAAUUUGUUCUGACCACGAGGCAUCCCUGGAGUCUCUCUGAAUCUGCUGUGAUUCUGAGGGCUGCUCAACUGGUGAAUUGUUCAUUGCUCAAUUAAACCCCUUUAAAUUUAAUUCGGCUGAAGAUUUUCUUCAAGAAACUAAGGAAGUGAGACACCACCAGAUUAUGGAACUUAACCAAUGUCACACAGCCAGAAGUGGAGCAGCUAGGAUUUGAACUUGAGCAGGCUAGUUCCAGAGCCCAUGCUCUUAUCACUAUGCUGCCUCUGAAAUCAGACUACCAAGAAAAGAGCAACUGGUAAUCGGAUUUGUGUAAGAGACUGGAAUAUGUAAGUAAGGUCUCAUUUCUGCUAGAUUUGAAUUCUGCUUUGGCUUAUCGAAAGGCUUAGUGAUCCCACUUAACAUGCAUGUACAAUGUGCUGUGCAAGGUUGCAAAGGAGGAACUAUGAAGGUUUUUCAGGUGGUCCUGGCCAAAGUAAAGUUGUGGACAGAGAAGCAGAUUGAGGAGCCAGGUGACUGGGGAAACAGAGGAGCAUUUAUUAAUAGUAAUUACUAUGCAUUUAAUGUUGAGACUAUGUACACCAUUGCAUUUAACCUACAGGGAACACAUUUAUUGAAUACAGAAAUUGCUGAAACUAGUUCAGCUUUGUCUUAAGAAAUGACUAACAUUACUAUUAGUAUAGACCAUCAUCAUCUUUUCUCCCAUUUUUUUUCCACACCCAGCCACUCUACCUCAGAAGGCAGCCAAGCCUCUAUGGAGGCUGUCAGUGGCAUCUUCUGUUGCUAGGAUUCACUGUCUUCAAUCUUUCCUCUCACUGGUUCUAUAGCCACUGAACUGUGAGCUCUUUGAGAAUGGUGACAUUGCCUAUCCUGCUCGUACAUCCCUCCACUACUGCAUGUAUCCCCCUGAGCUGUGAUUUAUCACCUCAGUCAUUUUUGAAGUCAGGUACCUGUUCCUAUCCGUCUGUGUAAUCUAGGCAUUUAUGACAGUGUCUGGCACAAUGUGUAGCUGGUCAAAAUAUUGAAUAAUCAAAUACUUAAUAAGGUUUGUUCAGAUUUUAGGGAAGCAAACUAAAAGAUAUCCAAAUGUUUCUAAGUUUUCUAGGCUCAUUGAUGAGGGAAAAUAGACAGGAAUUUGAAGUUGAAAAUACUAAAUUGUUCUUAGAUUAUGUUCCUGGACAUUUCCUGUCCUGUAUUUAUUCAGAACACUGAAAGAAGACUGUUGAUUACGCCAAAUGAAAAGCAAAUAGUCCAUUUGGGGUGGUGAGGCUGCUGGAGAGCUGGUGAUGUUCUGCUUGUUGAUGUGGAUGCUGUUUACAGAGAUGUGUCCUCUGUUUACAGAGACUGUAAAAACAGUGAACUAUACAUGAAUGAGGUAGACUUUUCUGCAUAUAUAUCUCAAUGUUCUUAAAGCAAAUAUUACA
Gorilla gorilla gorilla (western lowland gorilla) is the source of this 2704-nucleotide long non-coding RNA. RefSeq lists it as uncharacterized. NCBI's taxonomy places the organism in Eukaryota, Metazoa, Chordata, Mammalia, Primates, Hominidae. The record is from RefSeq and is a predicted model, not a curated record. The transcript is spliced from 3 exons.